UCGAGAAACAGUAGACAACCACAAAAUGUUUCUGUCCCAGGGAAAGAUUUUUCAAUUCUUUUCUUUUUUUGUCAUCUAAACUUUGUUUUAAGCUAAACAUAUUCAGAUUUCAUCACUUUACUUUGCCUCUAAGACUCUGGAAAAGUUGAGACCUCACACACAGAUAUUCAUCUUAGAAGUUCACAAAC
This 188-nucleotide long non-coding RNA is filed under the name Colobus angolensis palliatus. RNAcentral's name for it is "DAOA antisense RNA 1 conserved region 2 (ENSCANG00000009097.1)". It matches the Rfam family "DAOA antisense RNA 1 conserved region 2". The record is from RNAcentral. Lineage: Eukaryota; Metazoa; Chordata; Mammalia; Primates; Cercopithecidae.